AUUGAACGCUGGCGGCAGGCCUAACACAUGCAAGUCGAGCGGAUGAAGGGAGCUUGCUCCUGGAUUCAGCGGCGGACGGGUGAGUAAUGCCUAGGAAUCUGCCUGGUAGUGGGGGAUAACGUCCGGAAACGGGCGCUAAUACCGCAUACGUCCUGAGGGAGAAAGUGGGGGAUCUUCGGACCUCACGCUAUCAGAUGAGCCUAGGUCGGAUUAGCUAGUUGGUGGGGUAAAGGCCUACCAAGGCGACGAUCCGUAACUGGUCUGAGAGGAUGAUCAGUCACACUGGAACUGAGACACGGUCCAGGCUCCUACGGGAGGCAGCAGUGGGGAAUAUUGGACAAUGGGCGAAGGCCUGAUCCAGCCAUGCCGCGUGUGUGAAGAAGGUCUUCGGAUUGUAAAGCACUUUAAGUUGGGAGGAAGGGCAGUAAGUUAAUACCUUGCUGUUUUGACGUUACCAACAGAAUAAGCACCGGCUAACUUCGUG
Molecule: ribosomal RNA, 484 nt
Filed under: uncultured bacterium
Lineage: Bacteria
Description: partial 16S ribosomal RNA
Rfam family: Bacterial small subunit ribosomal RNA
Source: RNAcentral